RNAcentral lists this transfer RNA (69 nucleotides) under Eschrichtius robustus (grey whale). RNAcentral describes it as "tRNA-Ala". It matches the Rfam family "tRNA". From Rfam's summary of the family: Transfer RNA (tRNA) molecules are approximately 80 nucleotides in length. Lineage: Eukaryota; Metazoa; Chordata; Mammalia; Artiodactyla; Eschrichtiidae. The record is from RNAcentral.
AAGGAUUUAGCUUAAUUAAAGCGUUUGGUUUGCGUCCAGUUGAUGUGAGAUAUAGUCUUGCAGUCCUUA